AUUUAAAUAGUUUAAUUAAAAUAUUGGCUUGUGAUGUCAAAGAUAUAGUUUUAUUUUAAAUA
RNAcentral lists this transfer RNA (62 nucleotides) under Luciola parvula. Its description in RNAcentral is "tRNA-His". Lineage: Eukaryota; Metazoa; Arthropoda; Insecta; Coleoptera; Lampyridae. The record is from RNAcentral.